RNAcentral lists this small RNA (1258 nucleotides) under Arabidopsis thaliana (thale cress). RNAcentral describes it as "ATSL030930". Lineage: Eukaryota; Viridiplantae; Streptophyta; Magnoliopsida; Brassicales; Brassicaceae. The record is from RNAcentral.
AAGCUUUACUAAUGAUAAUAGGUUUUUUAGAUCAAUUAAUCCUAAAGCACUAUCAUGUCGUUGUAGUAUUUUAGGUUGUCAAUCCAAAUGGGUGUGAUGCUAACAAUCAAGAUGUGAUCAGAAGUCAUUAAGUCAAGCCAAGCAUUAACAGGUUUUGGUGUGUUCUAGCAGAAACAAUAAAACACUCGACCAACACAGCUCGUUGCAGAGCACUGGGUGUGGUCGAGUAACAGACAGUAAAUGAAACAAAGAUACUCGACUGCACAAUCUGUGAUCAAUCAAUCAAGAUGUGAUCAGAAGUCAUUAAGUCAAGCCAAGCAUUAACAGGUUUUGGUGUGUUCUAGCAGUCCUAAGUGAACAUGCAGAAAACAGAAAAUCAAGCAGAAACAAUAAAACACUCGACCAACACAGCUCGUUGCAGAGCACUGGGUGUGGUCGAGUAACAGACAGUAAAUGAAAUAAAGAUACUCGACUGCACAAUCUGUUGCCAGACAACUGGAUGGUCGAGUAUCAGGUCGAGUAACAAGAAAGAGUUGCAGAAACUAAACAACAGAUGACAAGAUGCAGUAAACAACAGUAAAGUAAACAAAGAAAUCAAUCAGAUAAAGAAUUCCAUAGGAUGGGAUAAUUGAGUAGUUUCGUUUCCUCAGUUUACAGGUGAUUGACAUGCUCAAUAAAUUAUCCCUAGACAACAAGUUCGGUAACCAAAUCUAAGUGCCACCUCAACAGAGACCCUGAAGUUAAACUAGUCCCAGACUCAAUCACCAUUGACGAGAGCUACCUAACAGGCAUUACGAAUCAACAAGUUAAAGCCAAAACGCUCCCUACAACCAAUACCUUGGUACAGGGCCACGAAUCUCUGGAAUUAGUGGUUCAGACAUUUCAUCGAACACCUUUUGGGCGCGAAAAUAUAUGGGCUCAAAUUCAAGUUGAUCAGAAAGCAAUAGGCAUUAAGAACAACUAAUCCAGAAGGGAUUUAUAAAUCAAACUCAACCACCUCGCAUACUGAGAAUUCUAAACUACUCUUACCCAUCCUCAGAAACUUAUUCACUACUCAGACAUCAUUGCAGAAAGCAUAAACGUUGAAUAGAAUGAAAACAUGAUAACAAAAGAGUAAUAGCAAGGUGAUAACAGGAUGAACAACAGUAAACGAAAUCAAGAACAAAAUACUGAAUACUGAAUAGAUUAAGAGAAAAAUCCGGAUUACAAAAGGUCAAGAACACAGUGUCUACAGAAUAAAACUUAGAUUUACGAAAAU